CGCCUCUUGAUAACAUAAGAGGUCCUGCCUGCCCAGUGACAAAAUUCAACGGCCGCGGUAUCCUAACCGCGCGAAGGUAGCAUAAUCACUUGUUCUUUAAAUAGGGACUCGUAUCAACGGCAUCACGAGGGUCACACUGUCUCCCCCCUCCAAUCAGUAAAACUGAUCUCCCCAUGAAAAAGUGGGGAUACCAUUAUAAGACGAGAAGACCCCAUGGAGCUUUAAACCCAGUAGCAACUUAGCAAAGCUACAAAACCAUGCUAACGGUUUUAGGUUGGGGUGACCCCGGAGUAAAAACUAACCUCCAUAACGAAAAGAUUUAAAUCUUUACCCAAGAACUACAACUCUAAGAAUUAGGAAACUAACGAAUUGACCCGUCAUCGAUCAAUGAACCAAGUUACCCUGGGGAUAACAGCGCAAUCUACUUCAAGAGUCCAUAUCGACAAGUAGGCUUACGACCUCGAUGUUGGAUCAGGGUAUCCAAGUGGUGCAGCCGCUACUAAAGGUUCGUUUGUUCAACGAUUAAAACCCU
This 532-nucleotide ribosomal RNA is filed under the name Raorchestes jayarami (Jayaram's bush frog). Its description in RNAcentral is "partial 16S ribosomal RNA". It matches the Rfam family "Bacterial large subunit ribosomal RNA", at positions 1817 to 2597 of the family's 2925-position model. Lineage: Eukaryota; Metazoa; Chordata; Amphibia; Anura; Rhacophoridae. The record is from RNAcentral.